AUAAUCCAGCAUUGUCCUGAAGAUUUCAGGCCUAUUAGAAAUGAACCUACCACCAGCAUCCUUGUUUGUUCAAGAGGAGGCGGGGGUCUGUUAAGGGAACGCAUGGAACUUGUUGCUGAAUUGUGGGAGGAGAAUAUCAAGGCUGAGCUUGUUCCUAUACAUGAUCCGAGCCUCACUGAGCAAUACGAAUUUGCAAGUGAACAUGAUAUAAAAUGUCUUGUUAUCAUAACUGACACGGGUGUAUCUCAAACUGGAUUCGUUAAGGUUCGUCAUCUUGAUCUUAAGAAGUAGAAGGAGGUUCAGAGAGAAGAUCUUGUAAGAUUUCUGUUGAAUGCAAUGGGGGACACAAUUCCGUAACCCUUCAGUUUGGAUCCAGUAACGCCUACAUCAAUUAGCAGGUUCUUAGUAGCCUUAUGCUCCCAUCGUAACUUUUCAACGAUUCUCCAAAUAUAUCUUUACUGAGAUGAGAUUUUGUUUGUAUUUAUCGCGUGUUGUUUACCCUUCAAACAAUAGGUGUAUAAGUCAGAAUUCUUCCUUGCUGUCUCCUCUGGUGCCAGAUUAUGUUAACUGUGUAGUCUUUUGCAUGAAUCUAUCACCAAGUUUUUGCAGCUUUAGUUUUGAUUGAAUUACAUUACAUGUUACGUAAAUUCAUCCGAAACCAAUGUAAAUACACAACGCUCCGGGUCUAUGUAUCAAACAAAAUACAAAA
Long non-coding RNA from Hibiscus syriacus, 709 nucleotides. RefSeq lists it as uncharacterized. The record is from RefSeq and is a predicted model, not a curated record. The transcript has 4 exons. NCBI's taxonomy places the organism in Eukaryota, Viridiplantae, Streptophyta, Magnoliopsida, Malvales, Malvaceae.